RNAcentral lists this long non-coding RNA (1292 nucleotides) under Calidris pugnax (ruff). Its description in RNAcentral is "lncRNA (ENSCPUG00000008377.1)". The record is from RNAcentral. Lineage: Eukaryota; Metazoa; Chordata; Aves; Charadriiformes; Scolopacidae.
AUGACCUUGACGUCGUCCAAGGGCCGGUCUUGGGCGUUGGUCUCCACCAUGGCCAGGCGCCCCAACACCCCCAUGCCCUGGCAGACCCUCCCGAAGAUGCUGUGCUUCCCGUCCAACCACUGCGCGGGGCCCAACGUCAAGAAGAACUGGCUCCCGUUGGUGUCCGGUCCCGCGUUGGCCAUGGCCAAGAUGCCAGCACCUGGGAUGGAUGGACAGAUGGACAUCUUCAAGGUGGGGGUUGCUUUGGGGGGGUCUUUUUUUUUUUGGAAAGGGUACGGUGGGAGAUGGGCCACCUCAUGGAUUAAGGGUCUGGUAUCAUGGGGGACAUGGCAGCCCAUGGUCAAGGUCCUGGAGGUCAUGGCACCCCCUAGGUGGGGUUCCUGGGGGACAUUCCACCCCAUGGCCAAGGUCCUGGGACACAUGGCACCCCAUGGAUGGGGUCUUGAGGGACAUGUCAACCCAUGGUCAAGGUCCUGGGAGACAUGGCACCCUAUGGAUGAGGUCUUGAGGGCCAUGUCAACCCAUGGCCAAGGUUCUGGCAUCACGGGGGACAUCCCACCCCAUGGCCAAGGUCCUGGCAUCAUGGAGGACAGGACACCCCAUGGCCAAGGUCUUGGCAUCAUGGAGGACACGUCAACCCAUGGUCAAGUGAGGUCCCAUGGAGCAUCAUGGGGACAUUCCACCCCAUGGCCAAGGUCCUGGGGGUCAUACCACCCCAUGGAUGGGGUCUUAGGGGACAUGGGAGACAUCCCACCCCAUGGCCAAGGUGGUGGCAUCAUGGAGGACAUGUCAACCCAUGGCCAAGUGAGGUCCCAUGGGGCAUCAUGGGGACAUUUCACCCCAUGGCCAAGAUCCUGGGGGUCAUACCACCCCAUGGAUGGGGUCUUAGGGGACAUGGGAGACAUCCCACCCCAUGGCCAAGGUGGUGGCAUCAUGGAGGACACGUCACCCCAUGGCCAAGUGAGGUCCCAUGGGGCAUCAUGGAGACAUUCCACCCCACGGCCAACAUCCUGGAGGCCAUACCACCUCUGGGGUGGGGGUUCCUGGGGGGCAGGAUGGAGGUGCCACCCCCAACGUUCUUCUCCCCUCCCGGUGGUGGCCUCUACUCACCGGUGAACUUCAGCUCGGGGUGCAGCUCGUCCUCAAACUGCUUCCCGUAGAUGGAGGCACCUCCACGACCUGUGGGGAGGUCGGGGGGGGGUCAGGGAGAUGGUGGGAGGGGAUAUGUUGCGGGGGGGGGGACAUCGGAAGGCUGGGGGGGGGCCCACCGGGGCCGGGGGGGGCUCCUCCUU